UCCGGUGACCCUACCGAGAGGGCCACACCCGUUCCCAUCCCGAACACGGAAGUUAAGCCUCUCAGGGCCGAUGGUACUGCGCGGGCGACUGUGUGGGAGACUAGGUCGUUGCCGGGA
Molecule: ribosomal RNA, 117 nt
Filed under: Acidobacteriota bacterium
Lineage: Bacteria; Pseudomonadati; Acidobacteriota
Source: RNAcentral